UCCCUGGUGGCUCAGAGGUUAAAGCGUCUGCCUGCAAUGUGGGAAACCUGGGUUCAAUCCCUGGGUUGGGAA
RNAcentral lists this transfer RNA (72 nucleotides) under Ovis aries (sheep). It matches the Rfam family "tRNA". Rfam says of the family: Transfer RNA (tRNA) molecules are approximately 80 nucleotides in length. Their secondary structure includes four short double-helical elements and three loops (D, anti-codon, and T loops). Further hydrogen bonds mediate the characteristic L-shaped molecular structure. tRNAs have two regions of fundamental functional importance: the anti-codon, which is responsible for specific mRNA codon recognition, and the 3' end, to which the tRNAs corresponding amino acid is attached (by aminoacyl-tRNA synthetases). tRNAs cope with the degeneracy of the genetic code in two manners: having more than one tRNA (with a specific anti-codon) for a particular amino acid; and 'wobble' base-pairing, i.e. permitting non-standard base-pairing at the 3rd anti-codon position. Lineage: Eukaryota; Metazoa; Chordata; Mammalia; Artiodactyla; Bovidae. The record is from Rfam by way of RNAcentral.